Molecule: ribosomal RNA, 2171 nt
Filed under: Triticum aestivum (bread wheat)
Lineage: Eukaryota; Viridiplantae; Streptophyta; Magnoliopsida; Poales; Poaceae
Description: partial small subunit ribosomal RNA
Source: RNAcentral
CCGAUGAGGUAGGUGGUCUAGGCGCGGCGGGGACGGGUUUAGGAGAGGCGCACGCGGCGUGGGUUAGGGCAGGAGCGAGCAGAGUGCGCCGGGAGAACGCGGCGAGCAGAGGUGGAGUAUAGACCGUAGGAGCGACGCCGGUAUCUAGCUCCUCCUGCCGCGCUACUGCUGGUGCUACGCAGCCUGUAGGGUCUAGCUGCUGCGCUACCUUCUGUACUCUCGACCGGCUCCUUCUCCCCCGUCCCGGCGUCCAGUACUUCCCGUGCCACCGACGCCCGCCUUCGUCGUACCCAACUUCCUCGCCGCCUACACCCGCCCCAGCCUCCAACCCCCUCUGAGCAGCCGACCCGCUGUCGCUCGCGGCCACUCGCGUUACGUACUCAAAGGUCUUCGCAGGAGAGGAUGUUCCAAGAGUUAGACAACGUAGAGACAAGAGGAGCAGUUCCCCUCCCCUCCGCCGGUUACUGUCCCUCUUCGUCGUCCGGCAGCUCCUCACGUUCGUCUUCCCCUUCGAAGACCUGCCCUAAAUCUGUUCCUUUGUCUCUGGGCACGCUUUAGCUCGUAGGACCAUCACGGAGCUGGUUUCGCCCAGCUGCCUAUCGUGGCCACUCGUGCCUCGUACCACGUCGCUCAACCUAUCCGUCGUUCUCUCCACUGGUGCCCACACCGAACCCCUCGAGGCGUGUGUACUUCACUACUACUCACGUAGGCUGGGGUGGUACGACGACCAGGACCUCUUUGUUCCCCAUGUACUUGGUCUUUACUACACUAUAUGAACCAAUAAACUUGUACUUCCAGUCGGCGCCCCACUGCGCUGUACCGAGUAAUGUUCGAAGUCGACCUAGCUUAUCACCCGGAAGAUAUAUAUAUAAGUCGACAUAGUAAAGAAUGAUAUAUAUAGAAGGACAGCUGGUCUGCUUUGGUAUGUACCUAGGAAGCGGAGGAAAGAACGAGUCUUGGGUACUAUGUUGGAGCCGCCGACAGGUCGCUGAUUGUCCAUUAAAGAGAAAGUUAAACUACUACUACCUACUCUUAGUCAAGAUACUAACGUCGAAUAUUUUUGUCUACAACCUACAGGGAAUACACUACACGAAUAAAUGGUACUAUCUACGUUAACGAAUAAUCGUCCACGAGAGGCUUAGGAAGAAAUUGAUUAAAUGAAAACUACAAGCCUGUUUCCUCUGAUAUUGAAAAAUAUAAGCAAGAUAGUACCUAAGGGAGAGAUCGGAUACAUGCAAAGUCUUUAUCCAUGUGUGGAUCCUCUUCGGACUCUGGAUUAUUAUCACGAUUCGUUAAUGAGACUAACAGUAAGAUACGAUAGUAGUGUUGUGUCCAGUUAUCUGUCAGUUGUUUACACAUUAGUCGAAAGGGAUCCAGGACCUAGUAGAUGAUUAUUAGUUUAAAACACCGCUCGCAGAAUAUUUAGUCGUAUGGAUAAAGAGGUGUGACCUAUCGAAAAUAACACUGAUGUUUCUUAUAUCAAACUCCUGCCGUACGGUUAACAAGAUACAGAAUCCCACGAGGUGGCUACCACUUUUAUGGAGUGUACUACUACAACCUAUAAGAAGAUGUUUGAAGACCGGAUGGUCACCGACUCAUAGCUUCGUUUUACACUGUCAACGUACUACACGAACUGACAAAUAAACGUAUGUCGUUAUAGUAGAAAACCUCUAUUUUGUCGACAUGCCGACAAUGUACUCUGGUACAGCCUUCUGGGACGACGAUACAUUCGUUUUCCUAAGUACUAUGGGCGCCACUUUUGUCUCUAUUCUACGAUGUCAAUCUCGUCGUAACUCUUUGGCUCCUGUGCUUUACUCAGACUUUUUACGAUACCCGACUAAGCAAGAUCGAUCCGAUACACACCAUCUUCAACAUGAGUGUCCUUCUGAUAGCACGAAACAUAUUUGGUGCAAUAUACUAAGUGAAGACAAUACGAAUAAAUGUAAGGUCACAAUCCUGACUUUAGGUAGAUAACAUUACUUAAACCAACAUAACCGUAAUGGAUAAACUGAAUCCGAACCAAGUAGUGUAUAUCUGACAAAAAGAAAUUGGGCGACGAACAUACUGGAUUUUGACAGUACAUAUACUCCGUUCAAUAAUCGUUACAAAGUGUAAAAGAAUGAACGUUAUGAUACGAACGGACAAGUCCAGAAGGUUCUGGAUUUAGUAGU